AGUCCGAGUCAAUGAGCGGCAAACCGAGUAAAAGACUCCCCCGCCCACCACGCAUACUUUCAACGCCUAUUCUCAUUUUCUCGCAGUUUCCUGGAAAAUUCAUAUACACUGCAUGCGUUCUCCUUAAGAAACCCGUAUAAAUACCCUCAAACCUUUCCUCUACACUCAUCUUAUUGAUUCAGCCAUCGAAAUAUUUCAUUUUCUACUUCUCUCUCUCUCUCUCUCUCUCUCUCUGAGAGUCUCGAUUUCGCUAUCAGAUCUUCCUGGAAUCAAUAUCUGUUGGAUUUCGAAGAUGAGUCCCAUGAAGUUGUUUGGUCUCCCAAUCAUUGGGCUUGUCUUCUUGGCACUGAUGCAGCUCAGCUAUGGACAAGGCGUGGCUCCUUCGCCCGCACCAGAGGGCCCAUCUAGCGAUGGCAACGCUAUCGAUCAAGGAAUUGCUUUCAUCCUUAUGCUGGUGGCUCUUGCAGUUACCUACCUUAUCCAUUGAUUCCUUUCAUUUCAUCCCUCAAUUUAUUUAUUUAUUUAUAAUUAUUAUUAUAAAUUCUUCAUAUGCUUUCUCCUCACUUAUUUGGAGAAAUUGCAGCGAUUUUGUAUCUUUUACAUCAUUUUAAAUUAUAAAAAUAAAUAAAAAAUAUAUUUUUUUCUAUGUUAA
Molecule: long non-coding RNA, 652 nt
Organism: Manihot esculenta (cassava)
Lineage: Eukaryota; Viridiplantae; Streptophyta; Magnoliopsida; Malpighiales; Euphorbiaceae
Exons: 2
Source: RefSeq, a predicted model, not a curated record